RNAcentral lists this ribosomal RNA (216 nucleotides) under Campeiostachys nutans. Its description in RNAcentral is "Elymus nutans partial small subunit ribosomal RNA". The stretch from base 46 to 216 matches the Rfam family "Eukaryotic small subunit ribosomal RNA", at positions 693 to 864 of the family's 1831-position model. The record is from RNAcentral. Lineage: Eukaryota; Viridiplantae; Streptophyta; Magnoliopsida; Poales; Poaceae.
AGACCGGUCUACUGGUCGUGCUUUUGUACGUACUAGUAUAAUCGGUUUUUCUCUUCUGACGAACUAUAAUGCCAUCAAUUUGGUGUUAUGGGAAAUCAGGACUGUUACUUUGAAAAAAGUAGAGUGUUUAAAGCAGACUAUCGUCUGAAUACAUUAGCAUGGAAUAAUGAAAUAGGACGGACUGAUUCUAUUUCGUUGGUUUCUAGGAUCACCGUA